CUGGAUAAAAACAAUUCGUAGGAUGGAUGAGAACAUGAGAGAUCCUGAAAAAAAAAAAAAAAAAAAAAAAAAAACUUCUUCUUCUUCUGCUUUUCGAACACUACUCGAUUCCUACUUUUGUACUCCCUUUGUUUCACAUUCUUUUGCCUGGUUCAUCGGACAAGCAUAGAGCUCUCUUGAACUGCCUCAUCUUUGCCAAAGCAUCAGUAAAAAAAGAAAUACAGCUUCAUCUUGCUCUGUUCUG
Molecule: non-coding RNA, 244 nt
Filed under: Stygamoeba regulata
Lineage: Eukaryota; Discosea; Stygamoebida
Source: RNAcentral